UCAAGCUACAAAGGGCGCAAGGAGAAUGCCUUGGCACUGGGAGCCGAUGAAAGACGUGGUAAGCUGCGAUAAGCUUCGGGGAGGAGCAAACAUCCUUUGAUCCGGAGAUUUCUGAAUGAGGAAACUCACUGGAGUUCAUACUCCAGUAUCCUGUACUGAAUCCAUAGGUACAGGAAGGGAACCGCCUGAACUGAAACAUCUAAGUAGGGCGAGGAAGAGACAUCAAACGAGAUUCCGUUAGUAGUGGCGAGCGAACGCGGAAGAGGGCAAACCGGAAGGAGAAAUCCUUCCGGGGUAUGGACCGCUUUUAGGACUUGAGUUGUUAACCGAAUGGCAUGGGAAGGCCAAUCAAAGAGGGUGAGAAUCCCGUAGGUGAAAAUGACGAGAGCUGCGCGAGUUCCAGAGUACGGCCAGACACGUGAAACCUGGUCGGAAGAUGGGGGGACCACCCUCCAACCCUAAAUACUACCCAGUGACCGAUAGCGUAUAGUACUGUGAAGGAAAGGUGAAAAGGACCCCGGGAGGGGAGUGAAAUAGAACCUGAAACCUUGUGCCUACAAGCACAUAGAGCACAUCAACGUGUGAUAUGGUACUUUUUGUAGAACGGUCCGGCGAGCGAUUGUAUGUUGCGAGCUUAAGCGCUUAAGGCGCGGAGGCGUAGCGAGAGCGAGUCUGAACAGGGCGUUCAGUAACAUGCAAUGGGCCCGAAACCGGGUGACCUACCCAUGAUCAGGCUGAAGUGAAAGUAAAAUUUCAUGGAGGGCCGAACCGACCUCCGUUGAAAAGGCGGCGGAUGAAUUGUGGGUAGCGGAGAAAUUCCAAUCGAACUCGGAGAUAGCUGGUUCUCCCCGAAAUAGCUUUAGGGCUAGCCUCAUAUUAGAUACCCGGAGGUAAAGCACUGAAUGGCCUAGCGCCCGAGAGGGUAGCGAAGCCUAUCAAACUAAGAAUGCCGGAGUAUUGAUGUAUGGGAGUCAGACAGUGUGAGAUAAAUCUCAUUGUCAAAAGGGAAACAGCCCAGAUCUACAGCUAAGGUCCCAAAUUGUAUCUAAGUGGAAAACGAUGUGGAAAUACGCAGACAACCAGGAUGUUGGCUCAGAAGCAGCCACUCAUUUAAAGAGUGCGUAAUAGCUCACUGGUCGAGCGUCUCUGCGCGGAAAAUUUAACGGGGCUAAGAUACAAACCGAAGCUUAGGCUGCAUACUUAGUAUGCGGGGUAGGGGAGCGUUGUGUAAGCGGAGAAACAGUAGCGUAAGCGGCUGUGGAGUUUACAGAAGUGAGAAUGCCGGAAUGAGUAGCGCGAAUGUGGUGAGAAUCCACAUGGCCGGAAACCUCAGGUUUUUGGAGGAAGGUUCGUCCGCUCCAAGUUAGGCGGGAGCUAAGGUGAGGCCGCAAGGCGUAGCCGAUGCACAGACGGUAGAGAUUCCGUCCCCACCGAAAGAUUUAAGCACAGGGACACUUUCAGAAGGUCGGAGCCAGGUGUUGGUUCUGGUAGUGAUCGAGGGAAAUAUAGUACCGAAGUCUGGCUGGAUGAGAGGCGAGAAAAGCUGUGUGUAUAUCUAAGGUGCCCGUACCGCAAACCGACACAGGUAGGUAGGAAGAAGAUUCUAAGGCCAACGGGAGAAGGGUUGUUAAGGAACUCGGCAAAUUGACCCCGUAACUUCGGGAGAAGGGGUGCUCCAGAGAUGGAGCCGCAGAGAAUCGGCCCAAGCAACUGUUUACCAAAAACACAGGUUUGUGCUAAAUCGAAAGAUGACGUAUACGAGCUGACGCCUGCCCGGUGCUGGAAGGUUAAGAGGAGAUGUGCAAGCAUUGAAUCGAAGCCCCAGUGAACGGCGGCCGUAACUAUAACGGUCCUAAGGUAGCGAAAUUCCUUGUCAGGUAAGUUCUGACCCGC
This 1893-nucleotide ribosomal RNA is filed under the name human gut metagenome. RNAcentral's name for it is "bacterial LSU rRNA". It matches the Rfam family "Bacterial large subunit ribosomal RNA", at positions 3 to 1991 of the family's 2925-position model. The record is from RNAcentral.